GCUGUCGUGGUGCUUGAGGAGGUGGCAGACUGCUGCCGGCCUCAUUCCUGCGUCUGCCAAAACACAGAUGUAACUUCUGAGUGAAUUCACAGCAGAACCUGCUCAGGAUUCCCAGAAGCCCGGCUUGAGUGGACCACGGGUGUCCCUCCUCCACGUCUUCCUCCAGCUCUUUGUAGCUCCAAGCAUGAUGUGAACCACCUAUCAAGGAGAGCCGGAGAGCCCCGCGGGGCUCCCAGUCUAGAAGGGGAGAGAGAACAGGUCCUUGUUAAACAAUUACAGUGCAGUAUGUCACGGCUCCCGUAGCCAAGCAGCCGUGGUUAGGCAUUUAUUCGUUAAAUACAAUGACCUUAUGAGUUGGAUGUUUUCUCCAUUUCACGGAGGACUCUGAGACUCAAGAAGUUGUGAAUUAUCCAGGGUCACACAGCCAGUAUGAUUGGCAGAGAAUUCAAACCCAGAUCACUCUGACCCCAGAGUUCAGGGUCUUCUCAGUCCAUCCUUUCCACUCACCGCCAGUUAGCAAGGUGCUUCUUGGCCUCGCUCGAUCCCAUGGGUUGUGUGUGAACAUCAUGUGGCGUGUGGCACUGAGAGCCUGAGCAUUCGGUCCCCACGGCUGCAUCACGUGCGUCAUCUCCAG
Molecule: long non-coding RNA, 634 nt
Filed under: Suricata suricatta (meerkat)
Lineage: Eukaryota; Metazoa; Chordata; Mammalia; Carnivora; Herpestidae
Description: lncRNA (ENSSSUG00005000515.1)
Source: RNAcentral